This 468-nucleotide ribosomal RNA is filed under the name uncultured bacterium. Its description in RNAcentral is "partial 16S ribosomal RNA". It matches the Rfam family "Bacterial small subunit ribosomal RNA", at positions 28 to 507 of the family's 1533-position model. The record is from RNAcentral.
GACGAACGCUGGCGGCGUGCUUAACACAUGCAAGUCGAACGGAAAGGCCCUGCUUUUGUGGGGUGCUCGAGUGGCGAACGGGUGAGUAACACGUGAGUAACCUGCCCUUGACUUUGGGAUAACUUCAGGAAACUGGGGCUAAUACCGGAUAGGAGCUCCUGCUGCAUGGUGGGGGUUGGAAAGUUUCGGCGGUUGGGGAUGGACUCGCGGCUUAUCAGCUUGUUGGUGGGGUAGUGGCUUACCAAGGCUUUGACGGGUAGCCGGCCUGAGAGGGUGACCGGCCACAUUGGGACUGAGAUACGGCCCAGACUCCUACGGGAGGCAGCAGCGGGGAAUAGUGCACAAUGGGCGGAAGCCUGAUGCAGCAACGCCGCGUGCGGGAUGACGGCCUUCGGGUUGUAAACCGCUUUCGCCUGUGACGAAGCGUGAGUGACGGUAAUGGGUAAAGAAGCACCGGCUAACUACGUG